CGGACGUCUACAGUGACGGCAACAAGCACCGUGCAGUGCAGCAGCACUACCAAAAUAGUAUUAGCGUGAGAGCACAAUAGAACCCUUCGGCAACACGAGCCACCGUGUUCACCCCUCACCCCUUACUCCUCACUCCUCACCCCACCCCGCCCCAACGGAUGAUCCGCGUCUUUGCGAAAACAGAUGUGCCAGUGAUGGACAUCAUCGAGCUGCAGGGCAAGAUCGUCAUCACAGAGGAGGCACUGAGGGCCGCACGAGACGCCAAGGAGCGACGACGUACGUCACGGCGUGAGCGGCGCAGGAGGGGGGCAGCCAACAGCGGCACCGCGGUAGGAGAGGACGCCAGCUGCACGGGCGAUGAUCUCAUGCCUCUGUCUUUGGUGCCGUCGUCAUCGUAUCCUUCCUCCGGCUGCAGCAGCAGUCGCAGCAGCAGUUGCUCUAGUAGCAGCACCGGUGGUGAUGAUGACGACGAGGGCGGAGAUUGCGCCACGGCAGAUCCCGGCGAGCUCGCAGAUGUCGAUGCACACUGCUAUUCUUCACACAAUAGCGGCGAUCAGCGCGGUGCUGCAGACUCGACAAGUGCAGCUGCAUCAGCGCCGCGUCGCACAUCGUCCCCAGGCUGUCCUUCUCCCGCCAGCCCUCGACGGCCGCGACCGAACUCGCCCUCCGCCUCCCGUCGCGCCGCCGUCGUGGAGGUGCCGCUCGGCCACGUGGAACAGGACCGCCUCGACGAGAAGCGAUGCACCCUCUGCAUCGACACGCUGCGGGUGCACGGCAGCCGGUCCAGCUUCAAGCGCCCGUGGCUUGUACUGCGGGAGUGCACGCCAGCGCGUAUGCGAAAGCUGCGUCGGCAGGUGGUACGGCCACAGAUACCGCGUGAUGUCACAGAGCCGCGCGAGUUGCUGGCGACAGGGGAUGGUGGUGGUGGGGGUGGGGGUGCAGGAGUCGCGGAGUCGGCCGAUGGCGCGUCACCGUCACCGACGCCGGAGACAACCAUACUGUUCUCAGAGUGGCUCGGGCAGCACCCAGACGCGCUCUCCCUCAACUCGCUUUUCCUCGAUGACUUUGCUACCGGUGACGGGGACGACGUGAGCGGAUGUGGGCCGACUGCAGUCGGUUCCGCAUGUGCUGCGACGGCAUCGGCGUCUUCGGGGAGAAGCGGUAACGGCAUCGGGGCACACAAGCGCCCUCGCGAGGCGGAAAAUGUCGGGGGUACCGCACUGGACGGCCCACCGUUCUCACCUCAGUCACCACAGAGCGCCUCCGACGUCCUCUCAGCGGCACAGACGACGGCAGCGACGGUGUACAAAGACUACGAACUGGUCGGCGUUGUGCGCGGCUCCGUCCUGUUCAAUUCUAAGCCGGCACGUGUCUUUCAGUGAGGACGCGGAUGCUGUGAGAGGCGUGCGCCUGUAUGCAUGUCUGUGUGAGGAGAGUCCUGGCGGGCCAUGCCAGAUCAGAGGGGAGGUGGCCGAUAGUCUUCUAUUGAUAUAUAUAUAUAUAUAUGUGCGUCUGCCGCGACAGCGGCUGCCGUGACGACAAGUGGGAAGAGUACGGCAACGACAAGGGGUCGCUGGCCCAUGUCGGUGGCUGCCUGCCUGCGUACGCACUUGCGGGCGUGUUUGUCUGUCCGCUGUUCUUGUUGUGCCGCAUGGUGGCGGGGAAGGCACACGGUCAUCAUGUCCUACCUGUGCUCUUCCUUACCCCGCCUCUCCCUAAAGCGUUCGCGCCUG
RNAcentral lists this unclassified non-coding RNA (1733 nucleotides) under Leishmania donovani. RNAcentral describes it as "gene:LdHU3.06.0830(CDS-product:hypothetical_prote in_conserved)". The record is from RNAcentral. Lineage: Eukaryota; Euglenozoa; Kinetoplastea; Trypanosomatida; Trypanosomatidae.